UUGAUGGAGACUGUGGGCCAUUUUCGUUGAAGGACUACAUAUCCCAUGAUGCCUCGCUUUCAAGAUGACCAAAUGGAACACGGAGCAGACCAGCCGUUGUGACAGCUGAGAGACCCAAGAGUUCGCUGUGGUAAACUUCAGCGCCGACUACGACCUUGAGUAGAACACGAAGUAAAUAAAUAUGACACACUCAGGACAGGACAGAAGCCGGCCGGUAAAACAGCACUAGCAGCAGAGAGCUUUUCAUUGAAUGGACCCAAAUUUAAGGAGUCAGUGACCCGCCUACACAAACCAUUGCAUGCUAAGAUAACUGCUGCAGCAGCACAUCAUUACCUUCUCAACCAAUCCGAGCCUGAUGCCCUGGAAGCCUACAGUGUCUCCCUGAGCCACCAGGGGGCCUCAGUCCCACCGUGGGACACCCAGCUCCUAGUUUACCUUCACCCUGAACCCUCCAGCAGGAGUCAAGCUGUCCCACCCUGCCCCCUCAACCUCCUCUUCUUCUCCACCUGCUCCUUGUUCUCCUCCCCUCUGGCCCCCACAGACCCACCUGGCCUCCCAGUCAACCUUCUCC
Molecule: long non-coding RNA, 571 nt
Organism: Acanthopagrus latus (yellowfin seabream)
Lineage: Eukaryota; Metazoa; Chordata; Actinopteri; Spariformes; Sparidae
Exons: 4
Source: RefSeq, a predicted model, not a curated record